This 319-nucleotide long non-coding RNA is filed under the name Malus domestica (apple). Its description in RNAcentral is "long non-coding RNA (MDOM_LNC016895)". The record is from RNAcentral. Lineage: Eukaryota; Viridiplantae; Streptophyta; Magnoliopsida; Rosales; Rosaceae.
AAUUAAACAAGUAAUAAAAUUGACAAUCAAGCAGAAUAAAUGGGUUGCGUCCCUUAAAGCGCUUGCUUUAACGUCUUCCAGCCGGACGAUGAACACCUUCACUUCUCUUUGGAACCCACGGCAUGCAGUGAUAUCCUCCACAACAUGCUCCACAAAGUUCUCGUAGAUUACAUCCUUGAACGGAAAUGGAUAGUGAUGUUUGUUGAUGUUGUGUUGUCUAAGGUUCAUGUUCAUACGCCCACCAUCAGGGAUUUGCUUAGGUACCUGCACCAAAGAAGGGAACCACCUAUCAACUUUAAAUGGCAUUGGAUUUGGAUUA